UUAUCAACGCAGAGUAGGGGUUUCUUAUCAGAGUUGUAUGUCUCAAACAUCCAUUAGCAAAGCUCUACAUGAAACUUUAAAUGCUCUCCAUCAAGCAGACAAUCAUUGGAUAAAUUUUCCGCGAACUGUAGGCGCAAUGCAAACAAUACAAAGAAGGUUAUAUUCAAUGAUUUUUUGAAAGAUUCGGUUUUCCGAAUGUUGUUGGUGUAGUGGACGGUACACAUAUAGCAAUAUUUCCACCUGAAGGCUAAAUCGAAGAAGCGUACUUUAAUAGAAAAGGAUUUCACUCGCUAAACUCUAUGAUAAAAGAGUCAUAGGAAUUUUGAAAGCGAGAUGGAGAUGUCUAAGGAAAGAAAGGGGUUUGCACUACGAUCCAGUUACUGCUGGUUUAAUUGUUAACAUGUGUUGUGUUCUACACAACAUAUGUAGGCAAUAUGGAAUACCAGAUCCAGCAUUACCUCGUAAUGUUGAAGAGGUAGAGGACAUCGACGAAGAAGAAGAUAAUGAAAUUGAAGACGGAGAAGAUGUCCGAAAUAGUAUUAUUCAAGAUUUCUUUCAGUAGAAUAUUUUUUAAUUUGAUGAAAUGAUUAUAUUUAAAUUUAAAAAAAUUACAUUUUGUUUUAGUUUUAAAAAAAAUUUAAUAAUUCUAAUAAACUUUGUAAAUGUA
Leptopilina boulardi is the source of this 667-nucleotide long non-coding RNA. RefSeq lists it as uncharacterized. The record is from RefSeq and is a predicted model, not a curated record. Lineage: Eukaryota; Metazoa; Arthropoda; Insecta; Hymenoptera; Figitidae. The transcript has 4 exons.